UUCCAUUAUUUGUGCUUGUGGCUAUGUUC
Molecule: non-coding RNA, 29 nt
Filed under: Mus musculus (house mouse)
Lineage: Eukaryota; Metazoa; Chordata; Mammalia; Rodentia; Muridae
Source: RNAcentral